UACGUAGGUGGCUAGCGUUGCUCGGAAUCACUGGGCGUAAAGCGCACGUAGGCGGAUUGCUAAGUCAGGGGUGAAAUCCUGGAGCUCAACUCCAGAACUGCCUUUGAUACUGGCAAUCUCGAGUCCGGGAGAGGUGAGUGGAACUGCGAGUGUAGAGGUGAAAUUCGUAGAUAUUCGCAAGAACACCAGUGGCGAAGGCGGCUCACUGGCCCGGUACUGACGCUGAGGUGCGAAAGCGUGGGGAGCAAACAGG
This 253-nucleotide ribosomal RNA is filed under the name uncultured bacterium. RNAcentral's name for it is "partial 16S ribosomal RNA". It matches the Rfam family "Bacterial small subunit ribosomal RNA", at positions 524 to 776 of the family's 1533-position model. The record is from RNAcentral.